UGAACGCUGGCGGCAGGCCUAACACAUGCAAGUCGAGCGGAUGAAGGGAGCUUGCUCCUGGAUUCAGCGGCGGACGGGUGAGUAAUGCCUAGGAAUCUGCCUGGUAGUGGGGGAUAACGUCCGGAAACGGGCGCUAAUACCGCAUACGUCCUGAGGGAGAAAGUGGGGGAUCUUCGGACCUCACGCUAUCAGAUGAGCCUAGGUCGGAUUAGCUAGUUGGUGGGGUAAAGGCCUACCAAGGCGACGAUCCGUAACUGGUCUGAGAGGAUGAUCAGUCACACUGGAACUGAGACACGGUCCAGACUCCGACGGGAGGCAGCAGUGGGGAAUAUUGGACAAUGGGCGAAAGCCUGAUCCAGACAUGCCGCGUGUGUGAAGAAGGUCUUCGGAUUGUAAAGCACUUUAAGUUGGGAGGAAGGGCAGUAAGUUAAUACCGUGCUGUUUUGACGUUACCAACAGAAUAAGCACCGGCUAACUUCGUG
RNAcentral lists this ribosomal RNA (482 nucleotides) under uncultured bacterium. RNAcentral's name for it is "partial 16S ribosomal RNA". It matches the Rfam family "Bacterial small subunit ribosomal RNA", at positions 30 to 507 of the family's 1533-position model. The record is from RNAcentral.